Molecule: non-coding RNA, 178 nt
Filed under: uncultured Odoribacter sp.
Lineage: Bacteria; Pseudomonadati; Bacteroidota; Bacteroidia; Bacteroidales; Odoribacteraceae
Source: RNAcentral
UGGUUUUCCUAUUGUCAUUCGGCAAGGGAAAUAAAAGGGAAUCAGGUGCAAAUCCUGAACAGGCCCCGCUGCUGUGAACCUCAAUAGAGUUUCAGGGCAAUACUCCUGCCACUGUCUUCAUUUAACAAGACGGGAAGGCGCCCGAAACGAAGUAAGUCAGAAGACCUGCCGUACAAGC